This 253-nucleotide ribosomal RNA is filed under the name uncultured bacterium. RNAcentral describes it as "partial 16S ribosomal RNA". It matches the Rfam family "Bacterial small subunit ribosomal RNA", at positions 524 to 776 of the family's 1533-position model. The record is from RNAcentral.
UACGUAGGGUGCAAGCGUUGUCCGGAAUUAUUGGGCGUAAAGAGCUCGUAGGCGGUUUGUCGCGUCUGCUGUGAAAUCCCGAGGCUCAACCUCGGGCCUGCAGUGGGUACGGGCAGGCUAGAGUGUGGUAGGGGAGAUCGGAAUUCCUGGUGUAGCGGUGAAAUGCGCAGAUAUCAGGAGGAACACCGGUGGCGAAGGCGGAUCUCUGGGCCAUUACUGACGCUGAGGAGCGAAAGCGUGGGGAGCGAACAGG